CGCUACACAGAAACUCACUAUGAACUAAUAACUACUAAAAUAAUUUUAGGCACAUAGCCUAUGAUUAGUAUGAGACAGACAACAAUCAGUUACACUCGACUCAUAACACAAAGUUCUUUAACCAUACGAUUAGGUUUACCGUCUGCCCACUGUCUUGCUACUGCUGGCUCCAUAUGCAUCAUAGCAUAGCAUAGCAUACCAAUAGCUAACAGUAGGUUAAACUUUGAAUUAUGCGUUACUUACGAGUCGGAGUGUGGAGGAGAAAGUGAUCCCUGAGACCCAGCUGAGGCAGUAGCCUACGCGCUAAGUUCAAAGCUGGAAAAUGCAGCUUUAUAGGCCAGCUCGAUCGGUGACACCGGACUCCCAACACGAGCCCGUCAGCACACACGGCUCCAAAGCGUUGCGAACACUCUUAAGUCCAACGGUACAGCGAUCCAGGGUUAUUCGGCGGGGACACUGAGGCUAGGGUAGCUUCCUAAAAAUCAAGGUGA
This is a long non-coding RNA of Anguilla rostrata (American eel), 491 nucleotides long. RefSeq lists it as uncharacterized. The record is from RefSeq and is a predicted model, not a curated record. Lineage: Eukaryota; Metazoa; Chordata; Actinopteri; Anguilliformes; Anguillidae. The transcript has 3 exons.